Molecule: non-coding RNA, 27 nt
Filed under: Bombyx mori (domestic silkworm)
Lineage: Eukaryota; Metazoa; Arthropoda; Insecta; Lepidoptera; Bombycidae
Source: RNAcentral
UAGUUGCGUAUCGACUACAGUAGUGUG